This 918-nucleotide long non-coding RNA is filed under the name Volvox carteri. RNAcentral describes it as "long non-coding RNA (VCAR_LNC002850)". The record is from RNAcentral. Lineage: Eukaryota; Viridiplantae; Chlorophyta; Chlorophyceae; Chlamydomonadales; Volvocaceae.
GCCACGGGGCGUGCCCGUUGCCGGUGGCUGCAAUGCGACAGUGCCCGAGGCUGUGGCUAAGUGCCGUGUCGCCGCGGUGAGCGCGUCUGCAAAGUCCAUGAUGCGCUCAUCCAGGGCAUGGACCUGCGUAUUGCGGGUUAGGAGAGGCGACCAAAGGGAGAGAUGGCCAAAGGAUGCAGCAACCACGGUCACCCCCUUCGGUGUUGAAGCUGGCCUGCUAUUCUGGCAUGGCGCACAGGUGUACGGUUAGUAAAUGCGCCAGGAAUUGUUAGUUAGUGGUAGAUAUUUUGCUGGCUUCCUGAGGAAAGAACUUGUGCUUCACGUACCUCUUCUGCCCUAUCCUGACACAUCCCUCCCUCCCCCCACCUCCGUACCUUCGUCUCCAGCACCUCCAUCAUGAACAGCAGGGCCCCCGUAUCCAGCGGAGGCUGGCCCAGCUGCCGAACCACCACACCAGAACCCCGCUGCUGGGUAUACGCUGCUGGGCCAGGCAGGUUGUCGUUCAGGACUGCAACCAGCUGGCCUUGCUGUAUUAAACACACGGACAGCAUGAAAUGGAUGUGGGGUGGGGAAUUAACGUGCCAAUUGAGGAUAAUGAUGGGGGUGUGGGCGAGAGCCCCAUCGGCCAGGCGAACGGAUGAGGGAUAACGGAUGAAGAGAAGAGCCAUACGUUGAGGGAUGAGCAAUCCGUGGAUGUUGCUUGGGAGCUAAGGGUACUUUCAGCACGGAGGAGAUGGUGGCACACGACCAUACCCAGGAGGUCAGCCUUCCACCCACACCACAACAGAACACAUAACCCCACCCCUUACGGCUCCCUCCCUUUCCCUUGGCUCUGCCGCUCAACCCAAACCAAUGCAGCAUCAAGAAAUACACGGUACAACACUGCGAUGUGUCAAGACCACGAGGCCCCAGUCUGGC